Molecule: unclassified non-coding RNA, 316 nt
Filed under: plant metagenome
Description: partial contains 5.8S ribosomal RNA, internal transcribed spacer 2, and large subunit ribosomal RNA
Rfam family: 5.8S ribosomal RNA (bases 1-105)
Source: RNAcentral
GAAAUGCGAUAACUAGUGUGAAUUGCAGAAUUCCGUGAAUCAUCGAGUCUUUGAACGCACAUUGCGCCCCCUGGUAUUCCGGGGGGCAUGCCUGUCCGAGCGUCAUUGCUGCCCAUCAAGCACGGCUUGUGCGUUGGGUCGUCGUCCCCUCUCCGGGGGGGACGGGCCCCAAAGGCAGCGGCGGCACCGCGUCCGAUCCUCGAGCGUAUGGGGCUUUGUCACCCGCUCUGUAGGCCCGGCCGGCGCUUGCCGAACGCAAAUCAAUCUUUUUCCAGGUUGACCUCGGAUCAGGUAGGGAUACCCGCUGAACUUAAGC